UGCAGUUGUGUGGACAAGACAAUACUUAGUUUAUGUGACCACACAAGACUUGCCAAUUAUAUUCCUUUCCUAGUACGUAGCAUCGUUGAGUUCUGGGAGAUGCUUAUGCCAUGUGGCUUCCUUGCAUUAGCUGUAUGCCAAUACAUAAACGUUACUUACACCCAAGUUGAAGUUAGAAAUGUAGGCAUGUUUAUCGUUUCCUCUCUGACUGACGAGCUUCAAUCAUUCAUAUCAACUGCCGUAUGUUACUUACAUAAUCACAUAAGGAGACCAAGUUAAUUCUUUGUAUAAUGAUUUAGUUGUGUUACCAGAGGCUAGUCUAACAUGUCAUGAUGCUGAAGAAUUAAAUAUAUUGUGUAGGAAGCUGCUGGCACAAGGCUUGGCAUUAGCUGGUAUCUGAGUUGGAAUGCAUAUGGGGAAUGACUUGGUUCGUAUUCAAUGAACUUCCCCGGAUGGACUGCAUAGUUGGUUUCCGGUGAAAUGCCUAUUGGAUGAAGUCAUGUGCAAGAUCAAUCAUUCUGGGACUGCAGAUCGUAAUCCCAUGGCUUGCUGGUCUAUCCCACGGUGGAUCGUGUACAGCUGUGUUCCGGUAGAAUACCUGAGCUACAUGCUACAACGCUUGGCAUUUGUCUGGCUUUACAAUUAUCUCAAGUCAUUCUGUCCAUCAUGGUUCAUCAUGCUGCUGUUGUGCUAUAACGCUACUUGGAUUCAUCAGGAUACAUAAAUGAACUCUGUGCUUACAUU
RNAcentral lists this long non-coding RNA (744 nucleotides) under Hordeum vulgare. Its description in RNAcentral is "long non-coding RNA (HVUL_LNC018229)". Lineage: Eukaryota; Viridiplantae; Streptophyta; Magnoliopsida; Poales; Poaceae. The record is from RNAcentral.